Cephus cinctus (wheat stem sawfly) is the source of this 4196-nucleotide long non-coding RNA. RefSeq lists it as uncharacterized. The record is from RefSeq and is a predicted model, not a curated record. The transcript is spliced from 2 exons. NCBI's taxonomy places the organism in Eukaryota, Metazoa, Arthropoda, Insecta, Hymenoptera, Cephidae.
CUAAUUUACUUCAAUAAAAAUGUAACUGGCAUCACUAUUUAAGGAACAAUCGCAGCGAUAAACAUUAAUCCCCACUCGACUUCCUCUUGAGACACAAGUCAGACUUGACAUUGUAUAAAAUUAAUAUUAAAAUCUUUUUUUUUAAUUUAUUCAAAAAUCGUCUACAGCCAUUCAGCAGAUAAAAGAUCGAGUCUAGGUGACUCAUUUGCGUUAAAGGCCAUAGGAAAUUGGCCCCUAAAAAAUCUAUUACCGAUAGACGGUCCAUAGUCAAUUAUACGAGUACUCCUAAGAAAUACGUAACAAUUGUACGAUUUUUGAAUUUCUCAAGUACGAAUACUCGAUGUGUUUUCGAAAACUUGAAUAUCAUAAAAAUGUUACGCCUUGCCGAGUAAGACAUACCGUGCAUUCUAAUAUAUGUCAAGUAUGCAUCAUGUACUAGGGGCGAGCAUGCGAGUCUACCUUUAUGCGAAUGGAAUCUCAUAAAUAUACAUGGACAGAUACACAUAUGAUUGUAGGUACGCGAAAAAAAUAAUGAUAAUAUAAAACCACUAAGAAAUUUUAUGGGACAAUGAAGAGGCUCGAGGAAUAUACGGAAAUCGUAUUUAUAACUGUGCAAAUGACAAAGGGGAUGCAAAUCGAUUGACCGUUACAUUAUGGAAGAAAUAUGAAUGAAUGAUAAUAUAAAUUUGUCACGGACUGUGCGGUACAGUAAUAAAAAGAUCGAUCAUACAUUACUGUAUAACCGUGAGGUAAAAUUUAGUAGCCUCUGAAGAAAAAGUUUUUCAGUGCUAAAUUCCUCAACUAAAAAGUCAGCUGUUUAACGUAUCAAAUAUCUUCUAUUGGAAUUUUAUAGGAUUCAAAGGAAUCUCGCCUGCAGCCGGCCGUUUAUUCUGGAUUGCACGCUGGCAGAAGGAGUCAGCAAAGACUGUUACGUAAACUCGCGGCUUUCUUUUCGCUGACGCUUAGCAGUUUCAUUGGGCAACCAGCUCACAUACGGGAGCACAUGCUGAGUGUAUUAUGGCGGUAUAUGUAGCGUAGCUAUGCAUGUCCAAUAAGAGACGAUAUAUAUGAUGGUUUUCUAGUAUGAAAAUCCUAGGGAAUUUUGUACUAAGCGUAUAGAAUAUUUUUAUGUAUUUUCGUGCAUAGGUACCGGCGUAAGAGAUAUUGCAAUUUUUCUUCGAAAUUUCUAUGUAAUCCAACAUGAUAAUAUGUUGAAUAAUGUAGAAGAAUCAGUAUAAAAAUUAAAAAUUAGCAUAGUCUUUAGUGUACUCGCAAUGUAUAUUGUUAGUCAUCGCGUGUUACACCAUUGCUAUCUAUCAUCCUUAAGAGUGCAUCAAGAUCGCGGACUCGUAUUAUUUUCACGCUUCCACGCGAUAGACAUUAUACGCCUCGUUCGAGUUGUUAAACGAUAGAGUUGUUGUUAAAUAGAAAAAGAAAAAUCUGAAAAUUAUCAAAGAUUAUUUUCUCUUUAAAAAAUCCUCAUAAAUCAUCGGGAUGACAGUUUCCUUCAUAUGUACUUGAAUGCGUAAGAUUUUGUAUUUACCGCCAAAAUGUAUCCGUGUCAAAGCGCUCGACGUCCGGUGUAAUUUCUUUUCUGGGAAGAGACCGAAACCAAAGGAAACAAUUAAGCAACUUCCGUUAAGAGAGAAAUAAAAGUCAAGCGAGAGACAUAAAAAAGGAUAAGAGUGAAAAUGUCCGCGUUAAGAAGUUUUGCGAAAUGGUCGUUAGAUCUGGCGAAUCCGAACGAAUUAUUUACCAAUUAAUCAACUUCGUUCUUUGGCAAAAAAAAAUGAACUAAUAGAAGCAGCACAGUUUCCGGAAAAUUACGUCACCCUCAAUUCCCUCUCGUUACACGAAAGAAAAUUCAAAUUUACGGAUGAUUGCAAAAAAACGGUUCUAUGGAAGCAAGAGACUGGUAAAUUUAUACUUGGCGUAAUCGAUAGUUACGAUAUUGAUUAAUUACCGGAGUAAGUACCAUUACAACGAUGUCAUUCCGUUAAUGCUAAAUAAGUGGGAACGAGACAUUAUUUUCUCGAAGCUUGACUAUAGGAAAUUCGACGACUUCGUUCUUGUUAACGAUCGAUAUCCGCCAUAUCCUUCGAUAAUUAAAUUCAGCCGAACGGCAGUUCCGUACGACUACUUGUGGAUGAUUAAAUGUGUCAUUAUUGAAACUUCGCCUUCGCAGCGCAUUGGUGAAUGAAUUUUGAUAAGCCGUCAGGUAAAGUGCAUUUCAACGAAAUCACAUAGCGAAAUCAGUUGGGUAUCCAUGCGGUUUGUGCGUUCGGAUUACACGAAUGGCAUAAUAUACAAUGGCAUCAGGAUACAUCAUAUUUGCCAAUAUUAAUGGUGCUGUACGUAAUGAUGCUUAGUAUUCGAAAUUCGAAAUCCAAGAUGGCCGCGUAAUGCUCGAUGGUGUAGAUUGCGCAAGAUAAUUCAGCAUUCCGCCUCGGAAUACGACGACACGCGCUUACUUGACUCCCAGACACAUGUGGAAAGACUAGCUUGAGUUAUUCCUUCUUUUUAAUGGGCCAUGGUCAAGUCGAAUUUUAUAAAGGUGUCGACCAUUGUGGAAUACUGCAUUGACACCUGUGGCUAUUGUGUUUAACUAUUUAUUAUUUAUUUUUAUAUUCUUCAAUAGAUUAGCAGGACAUUUGCAUCGAAUUCACCUUUGAUUUACAAUUCGUCCGGGGCAAUCUCGUGCAUCUGCGAGUUACCUUUUUGACCAUGAAAUUUAGCAAUUAAUAACUACGUUACCGAUAAGGUAGUCUUACUUUACUUCAAAUGUGAAAUUUACUCUGUAGUCAAUUAUAAUACAAUAACCUGCUGGGAAAUAUCUGACUCACAGUGUACCCUUCGAGCUUCGGAAAAAGCCGAGAAUGUCUAGAUUUAUUUUUUAUUAUGUUUGUAUAUUUGUUCACUCUGGUAUCCUUAGCACUGCCAAUGCCAAGUGAGUGUCAUGGUGGUUUAAUUAAAAUAUCCAUACGCCACUUCACGUGAACCAACCUGACGCGAAGGCCAGCGAUAUUUCUUUUGACCAAUAAAAUAAUUAUUAAAAAGGUUUCAGGGAAUAAAGUAUAACCCAAUAACAAUAUACUGUUAUGUUGUUUUGUCAGUUCUAGUCGCACAUUUUUUAUUGGAAAAUUUAUCAUGCCUACAGACAGCUGUUCAGUAGACUAUUGUACCGAUUCGAACGAACGAGCUAACUUCGCUCGGUGCAAUGUUCCGGAAUAACCUUAUAUAUCCGUAAGUGCAUUGCAAUAUUUAAUUAAAUCUUGCUUUCCUUUCAAAUUACUUUUUCCACAGAUACUUGCCGAUCGCCAUUAAUAAAUUACGCACUGUGUACAAGAAUUAGGUAUAAAAAGUCCUUUCUAAAUAUCGUUCCUCGUGGAUAAACUGCAAGCCAAGUAACUAAGCAUAACAGAACACACCUGCGCGUAUAUGAGAAGCGGGAGCAAUUGCGCAAGUCAAUAAAAAAAAUCCUAAUUAUUUAUGCCGUGCAAGUUGGUCAAGAAAUCAAGUUCUGUCUCGCAGUAUAAAAUGACAUCUACACAAGACCAAUGACUACCAUGGAAUAGUAUGUGAUUUCAUACAACGGAAGAUUCCACAAAAUCAUUCUCUAGGUCAUAGGAGAAAUAAAGGAGUAUCUAGAUAUUAUGUAUCUACGUGGGUUGGCCCCUUGUGGCUGGUAUCAAAAUCGUGCAUCCCGAAUACCGGUCAGUCAUGUUUACGUCAUAGUUUCGUCCCGUAUAACCAGCUGACCUACUAAAAACUUCUCAAUCAGACAUUCCGUGGUACCACCUUCGGGAAAAGUUUCGACCGUCUCCCGAUUCUAGAUGUAACGCAUAAUCGUGCGUUAGAUUAUGACCAAAGAUUCACGACCCGACCCAUAACCCACUGGGAUUAUUCAGGACGACAGUUACACCAAAGAAGAAUGUUUACUCACGGGGAAAGUCAGACGGUAGGCUUUUGUGAGCGUAAUUAAAAUCUCACUACUUACGUCACAAGCCUCGACAAUUCCUUUGAGUCAAAUUCCAUUAUUGUGGUGAAAAUAUUUUAUAUUUUAAUUCAAAUAAAACGUUAUUUUUAUCGGUACGGUUGACUCUUAAACUAACGAGAAGAGAAAAGCAGAGGACGUGAUUUUCCAUUGUGAAGCUUUUGCAAUUCGUUUGACGAGAAUAAAUUUUAUGAAAAAUUGA